UACAGAGGUCCCAAGCGUUGUUCGGAUUCACUGGGCGUAAAGGGUGCGUAGGCGGUCGGGUAAGUCUGAUGUGAAAUCUCACAGCUUAACUGUGAAACUGCAUUGGAUACUAUUCGGCUUGAGAGUUGGAGGGGGGACUGGAAUUCUUGGUGUAGCAGUGAAAUGCGUAGAUAUCAAGAGGAACACCAGUGGCGAAGGCGAGUCCCUGGACAACUUCUGACGCUGAGGCACGAAAGCGUGGGGAGCAAACAGG
This 253-nucleotide ribosomal RNA is filed under the name uncultured bacterium. Its description in RNAcentral is "partial 16S ribosomal RNA". It matches the Rfam family "Bacterial small subunit ribosomal RNA", at positions 524 to 776 of the family's 1533-position model. The record is from RNAcentral.